CAAACUUCUCGUCCGUGAAGUAAAUAAUUGUAACUAUGGUCCAACCAAUUGGGAGAUAAUCAAUAGAUUCCUUUUCGAGAACGAUUCAUAUGCAGUUCCUUUGGACAUUGAGCACAAUUUAUUCUUGCUUGUUGAACUUGAGAAAACCGUGUUCGCAAAUAAACUUUCAUUUCGUACUUGUACGAAACAUAUAUCAAAAAUAAAACUGAGAUAUGUAAAUUAUUUUCCAAGUUUCAUUUCAUAACAUAUAUCAAGAAUAGAACUGAAAUAGAUAUAAAUUAUUCAUUUUAAACACACAUAGUUAUCAAAAUACACAAAUUAUUAAAACACACAAUACAUAUUAGAAGAGAACAAUACGACACAAGAACAUCAAAACACGACUGUUACACCACAAACUCGAUCCUUCUUGAUGAACCAAUACGAGACUGCGCAGAUUGCAUAGAUCAAGGGCGAUUCAAGAAGUGUGUGAUGGAGUUGUGGAGUGAAGGAUUGGCCCUUACUAUUUUGCGAGCCACAGAACUCGGAGUGGCCUUGAAGGUUUUAGGGCAGCAAUCGACGAUAUUGCCUUGGCAACAAGGAAUACGAGGGGCUGGAGACUCUGCAUGGACUGUGAACAUAAUAAGCAGAAAGACACACACAAAAACACUUAUUUCUUUGGCCAUGAAAACAAAAAAAGUAAUUAUAAGCUCGUUCUCACAGGUUUGUUUGCAAGUUGGAGAGAAACGGGACAUUUGCA
RNAcentral lists this long non-coding RNA (736 nucleotides) under Olea europaea subsp. europaea. The record is from RNAcentral. Lineage: Eukaryota; Viridiplantae; Streptophyta; Magnoliopsida; Lamiales; Oleaceae.